This 404-nucleotide ribosomal RNA is filed under the name uncultured bacterium. RNAcentral describes it as "bacterial SSU rRNA". It matches the Rfam family "Bacterial small subunit ribosomal RNA", at positions 355 to 776 of the family's 1533-position model. The record is from RNAcentral.
UAGGGAAUAUUGGACAAUGGGGGAAACCCUGAUCCAGCCAUGCCGCGUGAGUGAUGAAGGCCCUAGGGUUGUAAAGCUCUUUCGGCGGGGAAGAUAAUGACGGUACCCGCAUAAGAAGCCCCGGCUAACUUCGUGCCAGCAGCCGCGGUAAUACGAAGGGGGCUAGCGUUGCUCGGAAUCACUGGGCGUAAAGCGCACGUAGGCGGAUUGUUAAGUCAGGGGUGAAAUCCCGGAGCUCAACUCCGGAACUGCCUUUGAUACUGGCAAUCUUGAGUCCGGGAGAGGUGAGUGGAACUGCGAGUGUAGAGGUGAAAUUCGUAGAUAUUCGCAAGAACACCAGUGGCGAAGGCGGCUCACUGGCCCGGUACUGACGCUGAGGUGCGAAAGCGUGGGGAGCAAACAGG